UCAGAAUCCUGUCUGUUCAGUCUCAGACUAGUUUUUCCAGGGGUUUUAACAUACUUCCAAAGACCUGGACAAUUUUAGGAGUGCUUCUGUUCUUUAACCCACAUCAGAAUGGUGAAGAACCUGGGUUCUGAUGUCAGUGAAAGCCGCAGAGGUACUUGUCUGCAAGUAUUCAAAGACUAAGCAAACAUGUUGGAGAUGAAUGAUUUGGGGGCAAGACUAUAUUCAUCCUCAGAAUAAUUCAGUAAUCCGCUAUUGCUGAAAAAAGCACACACCUUGGAUGCAAAGUAUAGAGAAAUCAAACUGGGACUUAGCUGGAAGGUUCCUCCCUGCUGUUCAUUUUCAUAGUGCCAGAAGGUGUUAUGCAGGCUGCUUCUGGAGGGGUAAAGGCAUCAACUGAUCAACAGUUUUAUCCAGCUGUGAACUUUGUGUACUACAAUAUCAACU
Molecule: long non-coding RNA, 444 nt
Organism: Mus pahari (shrew mouse)
Lineage: Eukaryota; Metazoa; Chordata; Mammalia; Rodentia; Muridae
Exons: 3
Source: RefSeq, a predicted model, not a curated record